RNAcentral lists this signal recognition particle RNA (301 nucleotides) under Homo sapiens (human). RNAcentral's name for it is "Metazoan signal recognition particle RNA". It matches the Rfam family "Metazoan signal recognition particle RNA". From Rfam's summary of the family: The signal recognition particle (SRP) is a universally conserved ribonucleoprotein. Lineage: Eukaryota; Metazoa; Chordata; Mammalia; Primates; Hominidae. The record is from Rfam by way of RNAcentral.
GCUGGGCGUGGUGGCGCAUGCCUGUAGUCCCAGCUACUCGGGAGGCUGAGGCAGGAGAAUCGCUUGAACGCGGGAAGCAGAGGUUGUAGUGAGCUGAGAUCACGCCAUUGCACUCCAGCGUGGGCAACAAAAAAAAGAAAAGAAAAGAAUAAAAUAAAAUAAAAGAGAUUGCAAAACGUUUUUCUUUACCUUUUUUUUUUCAGACGGAGUCUCGCUCUGUCACCCAGGCUGGAGUGCAAUGGCGCGAUCUCCACUCACUGCAACCUCCGCCUCCCGGGCUCAAGCAAUUCUCCUGUCUCAG